AUUUCUGAGGAACAUGUUUCCUUUUGUUUAUGAAAAAGGAACUUUUUUUAUUGGAAAUAUUGUCAGUGUGUUGUAAUUGUGCAGCGGCCAGACAACCGUAGGGAUGGUAUCCACAGAUGAUGGGUUUUUCCACUCACUUGUCUACUGAAUCCAUCCCACAUGU
This 163-nucleotide small nucleolar RNA is filed under the name Lupinus angustifolius (narrow-leaved blue lupine). Its description in RNAcentral is "small nucleolar RNA snoR143". It matches the Rfam family "small nucleolar RNA snoR143". Lineage: Eukaryota; Viridiplantae; Streptophyta; Magnoliopsida; Fabales; Fabaceae. The record is from Rfam by way of RNAcentral.